GUCGAGAAUCUUUCACAAUGGGGGCAACCCUGAUGGAGCGACGCCGCGUGGAGGAUAAGGUCUUCGGAUUGUAAACUCCUGUCAUGCGUGAACAAGGUUGCUUGGUUAAUACCUGGGCAAAUUGAUGGUAACGCAAGAGGAAGAGACGGCUAACUCUGUGCCAGCAGCCGCGGUAAUACAGAGGUCUCAAGCGUUGUUCGGAAUCACUGGGCGUAAAGGGUGCGUAGGUGGCGUGGUAAGUCAGAUGUGAAAGCCCGGGGCUCAACCUCGGAACUGCAUCCGAUACUGCCAUGCUGGAGUACUGGAGAGGUGACUAGAAUUCUCGGUGUAGCAGUGAAAUGCGUAGAUAUCGAGAGGAAUACCAAAGGCGUAGGCAGGUCACUGGACAGUUACUGACACUGAGGCACGAAGGCCAGGGGAGCGAACGGGAUUAGAAACCCCGGUAGUCC
This 449-nucleotide ribosomal RNA is filed under the name uncultured bacterium. Its description in RNAcentral is "partial 16S ribosomal RNA". It matches the Rfam family "Bacterial small subunit ribosomal RNA", at positions 354 to 796 of the family's 1533-position model. The record is from RNAcentral.